GUCAAAUCUUUCACAGCCUUGUAACAAUUUUGCUUAAUUUAAUUUCCUUUUGUUUAAUAUAAUUUCCCUUCUUUUAAUCUAAUUUCCUAUGUUGUGUUUUAAUAGAAGAUGAAAAGUAAAAAAAAAAAAAACACAAUGUCAAGAACAAGGACAAAAGAGAGAAAUACCCACACAUAUAUCCAGGCUCUUCUGAUUAAAUACUGGGCUUUGUUGUCUACGCUAUGCGCUGCAGGACGUUAUCUUCAGUUGUCUAUAAGCACACGGGAAACAGCAACUGAUUCAGGCUUUUGUGUGGCAGAGGUCUCUGUCCAAGAAGAGGAAACAAUUGGGGAAAAGGUGUGGAACACUCCAUCUUCAAAGAGCAUGGCAUGGGACAGGGUGCAAAACUAUCCUUGGAGAUGUUUGCUGUGAGAAUAAGAAUAAAGUAUCCAGGUAAGGGGAAUACCUGAUUUUU
Molecule: long non-coding RNA, 454 nt
Filed under: Chrysolophus pictus (golden pheasant)
Lineage: Eukaryota; Metazoa; Chordata; Aves; Galliformes; Phasianidae
Description: lncRNA (ENSCPIG00010006043.1)
Source: RNAcentral